GACUGAUGAUCUCGCGUUUGACAUGAUUCCAGAAUAGCUAUAGUAUUCGUGAUCUGUAAAAGAUUAACAAUAAUCGAAUGAAGAAUAGAUAUACAUAUUAACGAUUGAAUGAAGUGUACAAAGAAAUAUCAGUCAUCGAAGUAAAGACGAUAUAACGUAUAGAAUAUAAAGUUGAAAUCAGCUCGAAGAGAUCUAAUUGAUAGAUUAGACAGGGUUAAUUUUCAAUUCUUAUUCCGUUCGCGUGCCUAUACCAGCGCGAUCAAUUCGGUAUUAUUAAUUCGUAUGUUAAGAAUGAAUUAAUAACAUCGAAUAUUCUUCAUCGAUGAAUCACAUCAAUGAAGAAUAGUCGCAUACGUGCUUGUAUACGUACUUGCAUCGUUGCUCUUGGUACAUAUUAAAUUCAAUUGAUUUUUAAUAAAAAGUCUAGUUCGCUUAAUUUAUUAUUUAUAAAAAUUGAAUUUCAUAAUGUUUUAAUUAUGUUACAGGUUAUUAAUUUUUUUAAGUAACGUAAUGUAUUAUAUAUUAUAUCGGCAUACAACGAGCUAGUAAGCAGGGCAAACGAUCGACCGGAUAAGGCAAUGAUUGGCGUUGCAACGGAUCACCAUGAUAGUAGAGCUCGAGAUGUCGGGAAUAAAAUAUACGAAGCCGAUGUCUUUUUUCUUAUCAUUACGUAUAUAUCGUACAACCGUCAACAUCUUAUUUCAGGAUAAAAAUACGCGAACGUUGGAUCAAGCAAGAAGAAUCUAACGGGAAAAUUGAAUAAGAAUAAGAAGGAAUUUUGACACGUAUACACAACCUUGAGCUAUCGAGAGAGAAAGAGAGAGAGAGAGAGAGAGAGAGAGAGAUGUCUGCAACGUCUUUGUCUCUGUGCUAAUGGAAAUUACAUGCCGCAACGAAUUUCCCUUGCAAAUACAAAGAUUAGUCGAUACUUGUCAAGGACGAAUACUGGAAUCCAUUCUUGCGAAUAUGAACAUUCCAUUUGAUUCAUGAAGAAAUACCUAAUAACAACAACAAAAAUAAAAUGACAUGAACAUCUCUAUAUCUUGUAAUCAUUGUAAAAUCUCUAAGGAUUUUGUUCUUUCAAGAAAAAAAAAUAAGAAAAUAGAAGGAAAGACAGAGUUCGUGAUUCGCACGAAAGAUUCUUCCCCGUGUCUGGGAGAGAAACGUCGACGGCAUAAAGAAUCGAUUCUUCAGAGUCCAGCGACCCUUUUACUUCGUCUGCGAAUUGAAAACGUCGUUGACCAUUGAAUGCGUCUGGGAUGCAUUGUAUCUGUAUAUAUUGAUGAAAUGUACAGGGUGUCCCAUUUAACAUCCCAAAAAUAUUAUGAUAAUCUAACACUUUCUUCUGUUUUAAUUUACAGAUAGCGUUCUAUAAUAUUUGAGUCAUGCAUUUCGUUACUAAUAAUCAUAAGGAAAAGAAAGAGAGAGAGAGAGAGUGAAAUAAUGAAAUGAAGAAAAGAUAAGAAGAAGAAGAUAAUAUCGUAUAUAAUUUACAAGUCGUGUCUACUUCAAGGUUUCUCGAGAUCCUGAACGAAGUCGAGAUGAGCGUAGGUCGUCGCCGAAGAAACGAAAUAAAAAUUCCAUAAGUGUAUAGAGAAGGAGGUGAUGAGGGGGAAGUAAAGUAGGAGGAGUAGGCGCCGCUGGGUAAUCGACCGAUCGAGUUUGACCAGAGUUGAUCGUUGGACGACCUUGGAAAGUAUCGUCUCUCUCCCAGAUUCGUUUGAUAGGUGUAGAAAAUCUCGUUAGUUCCGAUCAUCGAUUUGACUCGAUCAAGUUGGAAAGUCUCUCGAAAGAGUCAAGCGGAAAAGGAAAGGAAAGCUUAUUUGCCUCAGUUAACGUGGCAACAUUAAAGUCAUUAUGGCAUACUAUGUCGUUGGUUAAAUGAGUAAGAUACCAGGAGGACGUAGAUAUUGCAUAAACUUCUCUAUCGCAUCCGAAAGCACAAGCUGAAAUACAUCCUGUUCGUCUAAUUUCAUUCAAGAAUUUGUACAUCAUCGUCUGAAUUCAAGAAGAAGAAAGUGUGUGUGUGUAUACUCUACCAAGAACUAUCUAAGAAUGCCUUCCAGUAAAAUAGAUGUCUUAAUAAUGACUUGAUAAUAAUCAUAAACAAACUUUUCUUCGUGUUUGACUAAUCAUCAUGUCAUCAUUGUAAUAAGAUAUUUGAAUCAUCUAAAUGAGAUUAUUCAAGGAAUAUAAAUUACCAUGAUAGUUCUGAUAAGUAUAAUUAUGAAGAUUAUCUACAACAGAUUAAAAAAAGAAGAUAAAAGAAAAAAAAGAAACUUGCAACUAAUCGUAAAAAAUAGAAACGGAAGGACUUGUAUUAUUGGUCGACGAGCUUCCGGUGUGAAACCCUCUCUCUACGCAGAGACUAUUCUAAGCAUUUGCCUGGCCUCCUCCGUUACACCUACGCACGUAUUUUAUAAUCGAUAGUAUUAAACAAAAGUCAGGUCGACAUAUACGUAUCCUUGGUGGUAACAAUAAGAAGAAAUCUUUGUUUACAAAUUAAAGUAAACAGUAUCGUCAUUGGGAGAAAUUCACCGUCCAUUUACGAAGAAGCGUGGCAUGUAUACAAACGUUAACACGUAUUAGCUUGCGAGACGCAGAAGAAGAGACACACGAGAAGCAAUCGAGUAUAAUCGUUCGUAGACCGUUCCGUUCGCAUUAGGCAAGCUUAAUGACCGUAUAAAAGGGUGCCACGUGGGUGUUCGUUAUCUUCGCUGAGCUACACCCUUUUCCUCUUCGAAAUUCGCCUCGCUCGUCUUUGUCGCAUACGUCUGCUAUACCGGCUGGCCCCGUUUUAGUUUCGUCUUUUUGUAUCUUUCGUUUUAUGUUCCUCAUAUACUGCGGGUGUGCAUAUGGUAUAUACAUACAUAUAUGUAUGUAUAUAUAUAUAUAUAUAUAUAUAUAUAAAAUCAUAUACAUAGAUGUGUUAUUUUAAGAACAGAAGCUCAUUUAAACGUUUCUUAAGAGUAUUAGAAACUUAACGGUUAAGCUGACAAGCGUAAAUUAAACAUUUGUCGGCUUGUAAAAAUGAAUUGUUGAUUGAAAGAAUUUGUUAAAAAAAAAAAAAAAAAAAAAGAAAAAGAAAAAAAGA
Long non-coding RNA from Vespa mandarinia (Asian giant hornet), 3094 nucleotides. RefSeq lists it as uncharacterized. The record is from RefSeq and is a predicted model, not a curated record. NCBI's taxonomy places the organism in Eukaryota, Metazoa, Arthropoda, Insecta, Hymenoptera, Vespidae.